RNAcentral lists this long non-coding RNA (3776 nucleotides) under Salmo salar (Atlantic salmon). RNAcentral describes it as "lncRNA (ENSSSAG00000082173.1)". Lineage: Eukaryota; Metazoa; Chordata; Actinopteri; Salmoniformes; Salmonidae. The record is from RNAcentral.
UACAAUAUAGCAAAUAAAACACUGGAAUGGUAGAUUUGUAGUCGAAGAAAGUGCAAAGUAGAAAUAGAAAUAAUGGGGUGCAAAGGAGCAAAAUAAAUAAAUACAGUAGGGGAAGAGGUAGUUGUUUAGGCUAAAUUAUAGAUGGGCUAUGUACAGGUGCAGUAAUCUAUCCCAUCCUCAUCCUCGUCUGCAGGACAGUUUGAAGAGGUGUGAUCAGUAGUGUCAUCACAGAGUCAGGAGAGAGGGGAAAUGAACCUUUAUUUAACUAGGCAAGUCAGUUAAGAACAAAUUCUUUGGUGAUGUGGACACCAAGGAACAUGAAACUCUCGACCCGCUCCACUACAUCCCCGUCGAUGUUCAUGGGGGCCUGUUCGGUCCUCCUUUAAGUCCUGUAGUCCACGAUCAUCUCCUUUGUCUCGCUCACGUUGAGGGAGAGGACAGGCCAGGUCUCUGACCUCCUCCCUAUAGGGCCCGUCUCGUCGUUGUCGGUGAUCGGGCCUACUACUACCACUGUUGUGCCGUCAGCAAACUUAAUGAUGGCCGUUGCAGUUGUGAGUGAACUGGAAGUACAGGAAAGGGUCUGAGCACGUACCCCUUGAUAACUGACUGUAGACUACUCAUUCUCCUUUAUGAUGGCCGUUGGAGCAGUAUAUUACAGGUAGAUUGCUGGGUUAAUUCCUGUUUAUUGCUGGGUUUGUCGACAAGGCAGAUUCCUUUAGGUUUUACAAUGGGCUUAGGUGGGCCUUUGGAGAGCGUGCGUGUGUGUGUGUGUGUGUGUGUGUGUAAUGAUUGAAGGAGGGAUGUUUUUCUGUCCUCCGUCAUUCGAGUCACUCAUUCCCUCGUUCGUGCCAUCCUGUGGUUUAACGGUUUGAUCUGAUGGCCUGGUGACCUGGGCGUCCGGUCACACGAACACAAUAACCUUCUGAUGGGGAUUGACUGGCAGUUCAUCUUUCAUCUGGUUUCACAUCAACAGGGUUAGAGAAGGGGGAAAGGCUCUCUCUCUCUCUCUCUCUCUCUCUCUCUCUCUCUCUCUCUCUCUCUCUCUCUCUCUCUCUCUCUCUCUCUUUGUCUUUCUCUCUCUCUCUCUCUCCCUUUCUCUCUCUCUCUCUCUCUCUCUCUCUCUCUCUCUCUCUCUCUCCGCUCUCUCUCUCUCUCUCUCUCACCAUCUCUCUCUCUGUCUGUCUCUCUCUCUCUCUGUCUCUCUCUCUCUCUCUCUCUCUCUCUCUCUCUCUCUCUCUCUCUCUCUCUCUCUCUCUGUCUCUCUCUCUCUGUCUCUGUUUCUCUCUCUCUCUCCCUCUCUUUCUCUCUCUCUCUCUGUCUUUCUCUCUCUCUCUCUCUCUCUCUCUCUCUCUCUCUCUCUCUCAAAUUCAGAUUGCUUUAUUGGCAUGAAAUACAAGUGGUAGAUAGCCAAACCAGUACAGUGGUACAUUAUUACAGUAAGGACAGUAUAGAGGUACAUCAUUACAGUAAGGACAGUACAGUAGUAGAUAUAUAAACCAGUACAGUGGUACAUUAUUACAGUAAGGAUAGUAUAGAGGUACAUUAUUACAGUAAGGACAGUACAGUAGUAGAUAUAUAAACCAGUACAGAGGUACAUUAUUACAGUAAGGACAGUAUAGAGGUACAUUAUUACAGUAAGGACAGUACAGUGGUACAUCAUUACAGUAAGGACAGUACAGUGGUACAUCAUUACAGUAAGGACAGUACAGUAGUAGAUAUAUAAACCAGUAUAGUUGUACAUCAUUACAGUAAGGACAGUAUAGAGGUAUAUCAUUACAGUAAGGACAGUAUAGAGGUACAUAAUUACAGUAAGGACAGUACAGUGGUUCAUCAUUACAGUAAGGACAGUAUAGAGGUACAUCAUUACAGUAAGGACAGUAUAGAGGUACAUUAUUACAGUAAGGACAGUAUAGAGGUACAUCAUUACAGUAAGGACAGUAUAGAGGUACAUUAUUACAGUAAGCACAGUACAGCGGUACAUUAUUACAGUAAGGACAGUAUAGCGGUACAUUAUUACAGUAAGGACAGUAUAGUGGUACAUCAUUACAGUAAGGACAGUAUAGAGGUACAUUAUUACAGUAAGGACAGUAUAGAGGUACAUUAUUACAGUAAGGACAGUACAGUGGUACAUUAUUACAGUAAGGACAGUAUAGCGGUACAUUAUUACAGUAAGGACAGUACAGUGGUACAUCAUUACAGUAAGGACAGUACAGAGGUACAUUAUUACAGUAAGGACAGUAUAGCGGUACAUUAUUACAGUAAGGACAGUACAGAGCAGUGAGGGAACAUGGAUGAUGGGUCCAUUAUGUACUUGUCAGUUAUAUACAAUGUAAACACUACAAGGAAUGAAUGGUCAUGGGAUGUGCCUCAGGCUGUGACAAUCAUAUAUCUGGCUGUUAUAUUAACAUGUCUGUCAUUAUGAAUAGAUACAUACAUAUAUAUACAUAUAUAUAUAUAUAUAUAUAUACAUACAGUGUUUUAACGACGGGGCAAUAGUUAAAGUACAUGGUAGAAAAAUGAACAUUAAAUUAUCCAUUGCACCUGUACAUAGCCCAUCUGUAUAAUAGCCCAUCUACCUACCUCAUCCCCAUAUUGUUUUUUAUUUUAUUUAUUUUGCUCCUUUUGCAGCCCAGUACAUCUACUUGCACAUUCAUCUUCUGCACGUCUAUCACUCCAGUGUUUAAUUGCUAUAUUGUAAUUAUUUCGCACCACUACGGCCUAUUUAUUGCCUUACCUCCUUUAUCCUACCUCAUUUGCAUACACUGUAUAUAGACUUUCUCUAUUGUGUUAUUGGCUGUAUGUUUUGUUUAUUAUACUCCAUGUGUAACUCUGUGUUGUUGUUUGUGCCGCACUGCUUUGCUUUUAUCUUGGCCGGGUCGCAGUUGUAAAAUGAGAACUUGUUCUCAACUAGCCUACCUGGUUAAAUAAAGGUGAAAUAAAAAAAUUUAAAAUUCUGGCAACAGCACUGUUGGAUAUUCCUGUAGUCAGCAUGCCAAUUGCACCCUCCUCCCUCAAAACUUGAGACAUCUGUGGCGUUGUGUUGUGUGACAAAACUGCACAUUUUAGAGUGAUCUUUGUUUGUCCCCAGCACAAGGUGCACCUGUGCAAAGUUAAUUAUUUUUAAAUGGACAGUAAACAUUUACACUCACAAAAGUUCCAAAGGAAUAAAGACAUUUCAAAUAUAUUACUGUCUAUAUACAGUGUUGUAACGAUGUGUAAAAAAGUACAAAAGGUAAAAUAAAUAAACAUAAAUAUGGGUUGUAUUUACAAUGGUGUUUGUUCUUCACUGGUUGACCUUUUCUUGUGGCAACAGGUCACAAAUCCUGCUGUUGUGAUGGAACACUGUGGUAUUUCACCCAGUAGAUAUGGGAGUUUAUCAAGAUUGGGUUUGUUUUCGAAUUCUUUGUGGAUCUGUGUAAUCUGCGGGAAAUAUGUGUCUCUAAUAUGGUCAUACAUUUGGCAGGAAGUUAGGCAGUGCAGUUCAGUUUCCACCUCAUUUUGUGGGCAGUGUUGCACAUAGCCUGUCUUCUCUUGAGAGCCCAGGUCUGCCUACGGCGGCCUUUCUCAAUAGCAAGGCUAUGCUCACUGAGUCUGUACAUAGUUAAAGUUUCCUUAAGUUUGGGUCAGUCACAGUGGUCAGAUAUUCUGCUACUGUGUCCUCUCUGUUUGGGGACAAAUAACAUUCUAGUUUUCUCUGUUUUUUUGUUAAUUCUUUCCAAUGUGUCAUGUAAUUAUAUUUUAGUUUUCUCAUGAUUUGGUUGGUGUCUAAUUGUGUU